GACAAAACACACUUAUCUGACAGAAUGCUACCUUUAACAUUAGGAUAUUUGCACCAUGUGUGUAAUCUACCUGAAAACUUUGACAUCUGUGACCUUGUCUUGUUUAACAGAACAUAAAGUGCCACCAGAAUUAACAGAAUGAAGAGCCCACGGUUGACUGGAACACACAAGAGAGUUUUCACUACAUUUCAGCCAUUUUUAAGUGCUGUAAUGUAUUAUGGUCAGCAGAGGUCAAAAGAGCUCAAAACAUGAGAUCAUGAAAAUAAAAAUUCAAUGCAGUGCGUAAUACUCCCGUGUUUGAAUUUAAGCAGUCUGCCUGUAAAUCUGAAGGUGAAUGAAUAGAGUUAUUGUCUUGGAAAAAUGGGAGUCGACUCUGAAUCACGAAACCGAGUCAUCACUAGUCUGAUUCGCCAUCCGCCGCCGAUUUACGUCACUACUGUAGUUCCCGGCUGCAUUUUGUUAGAACUGCCCGUGAAAACUUCACUCAUCUUCCAAAAACAAGCUGUCUCUCGUUUCGGAAGGAUGCGUCCUCCUGAGGUCUCACUUGAAGCCUGCUACGUCAUCGAGGACGUCUCGUUUCAUAAUAGCAGGUAGGACACGCCGUAUGCGACCUACUUUCACGAGAAUGAUGUUGCUAAUUAACAUUAUUGGUGCAUUUUUUGAUAGGUUGGUUCAUUAAAUAUACUGUUGGGCUGUUUUAAUUUACAUAAACGUGUCAUAUUCUCGAAAAUAAAAUAUCAUUUUUCUGGCUCCGUAUUUGUUUAACACAGUCAGACACGUCGCGACAGGAGCAGGUGACGCAAAUGACGCAAUCAUGAAAUCCUUCUCAUUUCUGCUCGCUUCUUGGACUUAGUCCGCGACUUUAAAGGUUGCAGCCCCUGAAUUGGGACACAGCUCGUGUUGGUUGCUAGAGAUAACCCACAAUUCUUUGCGUGUUACGUCAAUAAACGGCAACAGCUGCACAAUUGUUUACAAUUUGUGUCACGUUUUUAUAAUCUUAGCAGGCAUAUGUAGUAAAUAGGUUUACAAGAAUUUAGUGAUUUUUAAACGUUUUAAAACAGUAAGGCAUUCUUUUUCUUUUGGCAUUGUUAAUUGUAUAAAGUAACCAACUUUUUACCUCUUGAAUCAUAUAGAAAUCAUUUUAAUUAAUUUGACAGGUGUGCGAGUGCAACAUGUUGUCAUAGCAACGUGGUACUUCCGGUUUCCUGUCCUGCCAGUAUGUCGUCCGUCUCGUUUAAUUGUAAGUUGAGAAUCUUAAGAGGAUGAGACGAGACCUCUGGAGGACACAAGGACGCAGCCUCACGAAACGAGACACAGCUUGUCAAUCACAUCAGACUAGAGCAGCAGAAAGGAGGAUUAGACAGAUGAAUCACCGAACGAAUCAUUUGAGAGUCAGUCAAGACGUAAGGUUGCAUCAGGACCCAGAUAUCCAUAAUUUUCUCCAGUCCAAAGUGUUCAACGCCCUAAAGAAAGAGAAGCAAAGUCGCCACAGCCCACAGAUACUCUGAGAUUCCAUCUGCUGUCAGAAGACAUCCUGACCUCCGCAAUAGAGCCACCAAAUCCAGGACGUCUUUCACUCCGUCAGACAGUAUCAACAUCAGGGCCGUGGCAG
Long non-coding RNA from Triplophysa dalaica, 1612 nucleotides. RefSeq lists it as uncharacterized. The transcript has 3 exons. The record is from RefSeq and is a predicted model, not a curated record. NCBI's taxonomy places the organism in Eukaryota, Metazoa, Chordata, Actinopteri, Cypriniformes, Nemacheilidae.